GGAGAGGUGUCCGAGUGGCCGAAGGAGCACGAUUGGAAGUCGUGUGUGGCGGCAACGUCACCGUGGGUUCGAAUCCCACCCUCUCCGCCA
RNAcentral lists this transfer RNA (90 nucleotides) under Planctomycetota bacterium. RNAcentral describes it as "tRNA-Ser". It matches the Rfam family "tRNA". From Rfam's summary of the family: Transfer RNA (tRNA) molecules are approximately 80 nucleotides in length. Lineage: Bacteria; Pseudomonadati; Planctomycetota. RNAcentral also lists the same sequence under 1 other name. The record is from RNAcentral.